AUCACUCCAACCCCUGUGACAUACCUUAAUGUUGCCUCGGCGGAUCAGCCCGCGCCCCGUAAAACGGGACGGCCCGCCAGAGGACCCAAACUCUAAUGUUUCUUAUUGUAACUUCUGAGUAAAACAAACAAAUAAAUCAAAACUUUCAACAACGGAUCUCUUGGUUCUGGCAUCGAUGAAGAACGCAGCAAAAUGCGAUAAGUAAUGUGAAUUGCAGAAUUCAGUGAAUCAUCGAAUCUUUGAACGCACAUUGCGCCCGCUGGUAUUCCGGCGGGCAUGCCUGUUCGAGCGUCAUUUCAACCCUCAAGCCCCCGGGUUUGGUGUUGGGGAUCGGCUCUGCCCUUCUGGGCGGUGCCGCCCCCGAAAUACAUUGGCGGUCUCGCUGCAGCCUCCAUUGCGUAGUAGCUAACACCUCGCAACUGGAACGCGGCGCGGCCAUGCCGUAAAACCCCAACUUCUGAAUGUUGACCUCGGAUCAGGUAGGAAUACCCGCUGAACUUAAGCAUAUCAAAAGACCCGGAGGAAGGA
Molecule: ribosomal RNA, 528 nt
Filed under: fungal sp. XKGKDF7
Lineage: Eukaryota; Fungi
Description: eukaryotic LSU rRNA
Rfam family: 5.8S ribosomal RNA (bases 141-294)
Source: RNAcentral